RNAcentral lists this ribosomal RNA (791 nucleotides) under uncultured bacterium. Its description in RNAcentral is "bacterial SSU rRNA". It matches the Rfam family "Bacterial small subunit ribosomal RNA", at positions 8 to 796 of the family's 1533-position model. The record is from RNAcentral.
AGAGUUUGAUCCUGGCUCAGAUUGAACGCUGGCGGCAUGCCUUACACAUGCAAGUCGAACGGCAGCACGGGAGCAAUCCUGGUGGCGAGUGGCGAACGGGUGAGUAAUACAUCGGAACGUGUCCUGUAGUGGGGGAUAGCCCGGCGAAAGCCGGAUUAAUACCGCAUACGCUCUACGGAGGAAAGGGGGGGAUCGCAAGACCUCUCGCUACAGGGGCGGCCGAUGGCAGAUUAGCUAGUUGGUGGGGUAAAGGCCUACCAAGGCGACGAUCUGUAGCUGGUCUGAGAGGACGACCAGCCACACUGGGACUGAGACACGGCCCAGACUCCUACGGGAGGCAGCAGUGGGGAAUUUUGGACAAUGGGCGCAAGCCUGAUCCAGCAAUGCCGCGUGUGUGAAGAAGGCCUUCGGGUUGUAAAGCACUUUUGUCCGGAAAGAAAUCCUUUGGGCUAAUACCCUGAGGGGAUGACGGUACCGGAAGAAUAAGCACCGGCUAACUACGUGCCAGCAGCCGCGGUAAUACGUAGGGUGCAAGCGUUAAUCGGAAUUACUGGGCGUAAAGCGUGCGCAGGCGGUCCGCUAAGACAGAUGUGAAAUCCCCGGGCUUAACCUGGGAACUGCAUUUGUGACUGGCGGGCUAGAGUAUGGCAGAGGGGGGUAGAAUUCCACGUAGCAGUGAAAUGCGUAGAGAUGUGGAGGAAUACCGAUGGCGAAGGCAGCCCCCUGGGCCAAUACUGACGCUCAUGCACGAAAGCGUGGGGAGCAAACAGGAUUAGAUACCCUAGUAGUCC